UUUUUAGAAUGACUUUGCUGUUGGUCUUAUCUUCCCAAGGCAGAUGGUUCUAUAUAUGUCCAUGGAAUUAGUACAUGUUGGCCUGCAGGCUUGUGCAUCUGACAAAUAGUUGCUAAAAUAAGUAUUUAAGACUAAUUUUAAACAUAGGGUCUAUCUAGCUAAAAACAGAUACUGUGCAAAUAAAUUUCUAUUUAGGGCAGGUGGAAGGAGGAAGUGAAAGAUUAUAGAGCACCAGCAUCUUGAAAUUGCCAAAGUGUCAGCAAACCAGUACUUCUUGAUCUUUUGCCUAUGUUGCUCUAGCAUACUGUGUUUGAGUCCUGAUUGCUGAUGACCAAAGGAUGAUUGUUCUUUGCUAAUUACCCUUACUGAAGUAACAGCUGGGGUAAGUGAUGUGGUGAUAGAUCUAAGUCAGAAGGAGCUGUAGCCAUGCAGGUGAAUUUCUGUAGAGAGAUUAGAGAGCCUGUAAAAGGCCAAAAUCAAGAAAGGUGAGUUGCUUCUUGAAGCACUGCCUCAGGGGGAAGAAUACUUGAAAUAUAUACAGAUAAUGAAGGGGAAAAGCUCAAGAAAUGGUAACAUUAAAGAAGACCUAGGACCAAUAGCAGGAGCAAGUUAGUUGCUAAGUUACGAGGCAAUUUUGGACAGCAGCUAUGUAGGCAAGGAUGGUUUAACAGGUCUGUACCAAAGUUCCCAUGUUCAGAGGUUAUAUGGAAGCAUUAUCUCAGCAUCAAAUCAUCACACAGAGUGCAGGAAUUCGGUUGCUGGGAGAGGUACCUGCACUGCCAGGGAAAAGACUGCCUUGCUUUCUACUCUACACAGGGCUGGGGGAGCUGGCCAGUGCCAGCCUUUAUGCCUUGCUCAGUCCCACACUCAGAUGAGUCCCUCAAAUUCCAGCUCCUACUGGGAUAAUUAUACAGGAAAAUCCAGCUUUUGGGAGCAGGAAGGUAGUUUCUGACGGCUUCUCCUAUCACGUUCUACCACGUCUGCAAGCACUUCAACCUUCGGCCCUCUCCGAAGAGAUCCCAGCCUGCCUGAGGAUAAGAAACAAUGGCCCUUGGCAUAAUCUUUUCUGCAGUGGGGAUUAAAUAGGGCCAUUGAAUGACAAAAAGAGACUACUCUCCUGCUGGGAUCCCAUGGGCUGAAGGACUUGUCGCAGAAUGGAUUCUAGCAUUUCCAAAGACAAAGGAUGGUGAAUUCAGUAAUGAGUCCCUAGAUAGCCAGCAUAAUAGAUUCACUCGAUUUAAACCUUGUCCCAGGGGACCUGUAGUGAGCUGCUUUUUUUUUUAUUUGUGGUCUUUGCCACCACAGAGCUCAGAUCAAUGGAAAUGCUCAUCAAAUAUGGAACUGGCACUUGUGAUGGAGAUUGACAAAUAUGGCUAAGUACAGCUGUGUGUUACAGAAAACUUAGUUUUCUAAGACUUAGUUCCUUGAACUGAUGCUGUGGUCUGAUAUAGGCUGUUGCCAGAAUCUUUAUUUAAUUCCUUUUGGUAUGUGAUAAAUUUUAGUUGCCUAGACAGACUUAUGAAGCCACAUCUGAUCUGUACGACAAUUACAAUUCUUUGAGCUCUUUCCCUAAUACAUCCAAUUUCAUUUACUGAGGAUUGCUACCUCCACUCAUUCUGUGAGCUGUUCAAAUAAUACAAAGGAAAGAAUACUUGGAAAUGUAAAAGGAAAAUUGCACAAAAGUAUAGUUUUAUCAAGAGUAGAUUGUACCAGACUAAUGUGGCAGAUUUCUUUGGUAAUAACCAUAUAACAGACUUUCUAGGCAAAAGAAGCUCUAUGGAUGUAACAGAUCUUGACUACAGGUUCCACAUAACCUAACUUGAAGGAGACAUGAAGAUAAUGCUGUUAAGAAGUUACCUGAUGAUGGCAAGACAAAGAGUUCUGUUCACUGCUGUUCAAGAAAGGCCAGUUCAAACUGUCCUCAGCAGAUGAACAAGCCCAGAGAGAGGCUUUAGCCUGGGUGCUCUCUGCCUCACCACACCUUGAUGGAUCCUCUCUCCUGCUCCCAGAAGGGAGUCCAAAGAUGAAAAAGGCUCCAACUGCUGGUCACCAUCCAGCUCUCGGAUGUUGCAACUCUGCCUUGCAAGCCUCUGUGUUCUCAUCCUUUGUUCCCAAGCCCCGCUCCUGCUGGCAACACCAUGUUUUGCCUCUGGCAAAAUGACACACAUCUGCUGCUCCUCAAGGGCUGUCUGUCAUCCUGCCCUCCUCCACCAAUACAAGACUUGCCUUAAUCGGGAUUUUCAGGUGUGAUAGAAGAAGAAAUUAAGUUAUUUGGGAGGUUCAAGCUGUCAGCCUACAUGUUCUCAGUUAUUUACUUAUUUUUUUACUUUUCCUCAGGAGAAAUAGAUAAGGUCCUUUAAAGCAGGUUCUUAGUUGGCAGCUUGGUGAAGGAGCAGUGGGAAUGUGUAUUAAAGAAGCUGGAAUAAACAACAAAACCAAAACAUAAGGUCACAAUUCAAGCAAAUAUGCCGGAGGGAACACUAAGAACAGACGAUGUUUAUUGCUCAAUAUAAUCUAAAGUCCAGACAGUGUGAGAAUGCAGUCCAAUGGAGCACUCCUGAAGCUCGGAAUAGAGAGGUGCAUAGAGAGCAGGCCACAGAGGAGGCAGCAUGUUUUUCUUUGAAAAGGGUCAAUAAUGAUUGUGCAGUAGGCUGGAAAUACUUAGUCACAUAAAAGGUGUCAGUGCUAGCAGCAGAAUAGAAGCUUUCACACAUUUCUUUAUUAAAAAAAAUGAAUCAGACAUUAAGUGUUAAUGUGAGACAGCAGGUCAGUCACCAUUUCUUAUACAAACUAUUGCAGCUGAAAAUGACUGUGGGAAAACUUCCUAAUUAGCCCUGUUGGGGUUUUUUGUUUUUUAAGAGAAAAGCAACUGAACUUCUGAAUCUAGUUUCCUGUGGAAACAGCUUACACAAUCAGUGUUUGUCCUGUACCUAAUACUUUUUGUAACCCUCUGGCAAAUCAGGUUUUGACUAAAGUUGAAAGAGUGAUAGUGUUGGACAUGAUUAUAUUUUUUUAAACAUUUCAUGAAGUCUGGCAGCAGGAUAAGGGAUGGAGUCAAGUUACUGCCCUGACUGAAGAAAAGGCUCUCAGCCAUUAUGUGUUGGUCCCAGCCAGCUGGCAAGGCAGCACACACGUGCCGACAGUGAGUAUAUUUGUAGCCCCAGUUUGUUGUCUCUAGGUAGUGGCAGGGUGAUCGGAGGCAUGAGGAGAGGUGGGAUUGUUGUGGUGAAGAGAAAGAGAUGUGGGACAAAGGACUCAAAUCCGUAGGAAAUCAGGGUUCGUUAGUUGUGCUGCUCAGGAGCAACAUGUUUAUCUAACAAUAGCUUUCUGCCCAAGCACAUACGUCAGAGCCAGAUUAGAUUUCUAUUUGCAUACCUCCUUACCUUUCUCAGGAAUGCCUCUGGCAUAAAAGUCCUUAAUUUCUCUUUCUCCCUUAAGGCAUGGGUCUCCUGGAAAGUAACUGUAAAAUUUGCAUCUUAUUUCUUAAUAGAUUUAUUACUUUGUUUACUUUAAGUCAGAUGAACUGGGUUUAAUAACCACAUCAAAUGUUUACUGCUUUUUUUUUUAAUCCUCUUGGCUCUUCAGAAAUAACAUAACAGAGAGAGAGCAAAUGAGCUGGAUGCAAUUACAUUUUGUGAACACACACUGAGAGCAGAACCUGAAGACAGCACUGUUGUGCAAUGUAAACAAGGCACAAACUUAUCCUGCUGAACCCUAGUUGCUAGUGAUCUGAGAGGGAAAGAAUCCAAUGGAUUUCUGAAGCAUAGGGAUGAGCUUGUAGUACUGACAGGAAGAACAGGAUUAUUUUGUUUUCUUUAGAACAGAACACGUUUUAUACUUACUUGUUGAAAUAAUAAGGAUGGAAAAAAACAAGCCACAUGAAAACUUUUAGCAGCCACAGUACAAAAGAAUCCUGUAGUAUCCAAUCUGCAGGAGGACAGAACUGGAGCUGUGUUCUUUCUGUCUUACGUAGUCCAAGGUCUGCAUUAUGCUCAUUAUAAUGAUAUCAGUGUUUCUAAAUUAAAGUGGCGAUGUCUAGAUUCCACAGGGAUGUGUGUCACAGAAAUGCAUGUGCUAGUAAUUAAAACAGAGCGUUCAAAUAUUGCUUCAUAUUCAGACAAGAACCUUUUUAUGCAGUUGUGUAAUAAAAAAAGGGAAGCUAGAGCCAAACUGAGGGCAGCAAUAAUACACUGCACAGCCGCUGAGACAACGUGAGACCUUGUGCACUAUUGCUGCCACCAGCCACACUGAAGAAAAGUCUUUUCAAAUACUAGGUAGCAUUUCAGAAAGAUUUUAUGAAAGUCCAUUCAAACUCCAGCCCUAUGUUCCCACUGCUAAGUAACCACUUAGAAAACUCACUCCAAAGAAUAUCUUGUCACCUAGAAAGUAAAUGAGAUAUAGCUACAAUGAAACAGACACUACUUUAGUAGAUCCCACCACUAGGCUACUCUGCAUGCAGCCAUCAGUAUUGUGCCUUUUCAGGGGCAAGAAUUUGCUGCUACAGGGGGGGGGAAAAAAGGCACAAAGAGGCAAUUGGGCUGUGCUGCACUUCAUGGGGUAGGGGAUAGUCCUUCCUUAUCCCCCCAUUGUCGGUUUAUGAAAAGAAAUACAGAGCAAUUACCCUAAUCACAGUCUUAGCAAAUGUGAUUAAUGAUCAAACAGUUUUCCAACGUUUUGGAAAAUCCUGUCUUAGUGUUAUUUGCCUUGAUUUCCUCCCACAGCAAUAAGCUGUGUAAGUUGACAAAAUGCAAAUUCAAAAAGCACUACCUUUUUUGUCCCAGGGGUGCUAUAGCUUCAUUAUACCAAACCUACUCUUUAGUAGCUGACCUAAUUUCUUCUGUUGUUAUAAUUUUAGAAGGAAGUUUUUACAGGCUCUUUGUACAUGAUACAGAUUAGUACUCAAAGGUAUCUUGGCCAAAAAAAGAGGAUGAAAAGUAGUCUUUUGUUCCCAGUACAUUGUUGGUUUAAUUUAGUCAGGUGUGUCCUGUGGAGGAACGGAGGAGUCACAUUUAAGGCUUGCUGAUUUUGCUCCCGACUUGUCUUUAUGUGUUCUGAGGCUAAAAUAAAGCUUGUGUUGCACAUGUAAUGUGGCUAAAGAAUUAUCUCCCCUCAUCAGCUAAACUACCAAGGAGUUUUACGCUGAGUCAAACCUAAUGAAUUGGCACUUCACAAUCUAGCAGCUCAGAUCUGCUUUCAAAACAAGCACCUUUAAAUGUGUCAUUAAAAGGCUAAAAUACACCCACUGGGCAAGGCCUCUAUCCCAAUAAUAUGGCUGCAUGAGUCUUAGGCUGAGUCAAGGGGAUCCUACAAUAAGCAACACUUUGCUCAGAGCAGUAGUGAAGGGGAUGGCAUUUGUCUCAUACAAUUUUUGCAGUAACUUGCUAUAGUCUGCUAAUGUUUAUUCAGUCACACCUGGUCAAACAGGUUUACAUUGUCCCCUUCCCUUCC
Cyanistes caeruleus (blue tit) is the source of this 5448-nucleotide non-coding RNA. NCBI's taxonomy places the organism in Eukaryota, Metazoa, Chordata, Aves, Passeriformes, Paridae. The record is from RefSeq and is a predicted model, not a curated record.